This 248-nucleotide long non-coding RNA is filed under the name Capsicum annuum. RNAcentral describes it as "long non-coding RNA (CANN_LNC011629)". The record is from RNAcentral. Lineage: Eukaryota; Viridiplantae; Streptophyta; Magnoliopsida; Solanales; Solanaceae.
UGGGUUCACUCGAUGCUGAGUCUUACUCUAAACUGAUUAGAAACUGGACUGAAUUCUAAACUAUUCUAGGCUGGACUGAACUGUUACUGAUCGUAUUGUAUAACUGAACUGAACUGAGUUCACUGUGUUUCGUGGAAUGAUGAAAUACAACUAAAUUCUGUUUACUGACUGAGUACUACUGAGCUUUCCUGAAUUCUGUAACUGACUGAAUUCUACUGAUCGUGGCAUGUUUGAUACUACUCCGUGAC